ACAAAAGAAAGCAAGUAUAGAGGCCACCGUCCUGCAUGUUGCAAGGCUCAACUGGAGUAAAUUUCUUCCAUUGCCAGCAACCCCAACCCCGCACGUUUCCCUUCCUUUUUCUCUUUCUCCAUAUAUCUACUACGUGUAAUGCUUGUGUCUCCUAAGCACCUACAGUAUUGGCUUCCAACUGAGUUUUUCUUUUACAGAGUAAAAAGAGCUACCAUGGACAAACAGAACGCCUGCAACACUGAUUUCAAAUCCAAUUUCUGCUUCCCCGAUGAGUUCCCUUACGAGUUUGGUUCCUCUUUUGAUCUAAGCUCCCCGGUUGAGUCUGUUGUAUGUCGUACCGAGACGGAUAGUAGUGAUGAUGAUGGUUUCCUAGCUGGCUUGACUCGGUGCCUGACUCAGCAACUUGUUGAGCCUAAUGAGAAAAAGUGGGUCACGGCCAGGUCACCUGAAUCGACACUUAGUGGAAUCGGAAGUUGGUCCCUAUCCAGCAACGGCAGCUCAAACUGUGAAAUUUCCCCCCCAGCGACGCCUUUUGGGACCAAAAGUGAUCCAUGGGACCUGAUAUUUGCAGCUGGUGAUCCUGUUUCGAGGUUAAAGGUGAGUAGUGAAGGCAACAGGAACAGUAACUAUCAAGAGAGGGGAUUGCAGGGUCCUGCAAGAAGCCAACGUCCAGAUACAGAUACUGCAGGAAAAAAUCAGAAUAAUGGUGUUUCGCUGUUGAAUCAGUAUCAAGUGAAGCAAGAACAGCGCCCUUCAGUUUGGGGAUGGCAGCAAAUGAAGGGAAGCUGGCAAGAUGAGCUCCAGCCCCACCAGCAGCUUCAGCAGCAACACCAAAUCCAGAGCAGCGGGAGAAGUGUGCGUCCUCUUGAUCUGCCUCGGUCUGCUUGGCCUCCUCUUCAAGU
Molecule: unclassified non-coding RNA, 902 nt
Filed under: Hevea brasiliensis (rubber tree)
Lineage: Eukaryota; Viridiplantae; Streptophyta; Magnoliopsida; Malpighiales; Euphorbiaceae
Source: RNAcentral